GUACUAUAUAUGCUAUUUUUCUUCGGUAUUCCCGCCAGUCCUAACCUGAUGAUCGCUUUCAUAUUAGCGGUGUGUGUCGGCGUGGCGAACUCCGCGCUGGAUACCGGCGGAUACCCUGCAUUAAUGGAGUGUUUUCCCAAAGCAUCGGGCUCGGCAGUUAUUCUGGUUAAAGCGAUGGUCUCUUUUGGGCAAAUGAUUUAUCCCCUUAUUGUCAGCGCCUUGUUAGUCAACCAUAUCUGGUACGGCUACGCGGUGGUAAUCCCCGGUAUCCUUUUCGUCCUCAUCACGUUGAUGCUGUUGAAAAGCCGUUUUCCCAGCCAACUUGUCGAUGCCAGUAUUGCGAAAGAAUUACCCCAGAUGAACAGUACUCCCCUCGUCUGGCUGGAAGGCGUAGCUUCCGUUUUAUUUGGCGUCGCCGCGUUCUCAACCUUCUAUGUGAUUGUGGUCUGGAU
This 452-nucleotide unclassified non-coding RNA is filed under the name uncultured fungus. RNAcentral's name for it is "partial internal transcribed spacer 1". Lineage: Eukaryota; Fungi. The record is from RNAcentral.